RNAcentral lists this long non-coding RNA (5305 nucleotides) under Sus scrofa (pig). Its description in RNAcentral is "lncRNA (ENSSSCG00050064143.1)". Lineage: Eukaryota; Metazoa; Chordata; Mammalia; Artiodactyla; Suidae. The record is from RNAcentral.
GGCCACACCUGCAGCAUAUGGAAGUUCCUAGGUAAGGAGUCAAAUUAGAGCUGUAGCUGCUGGCCUACACCACAGCCAUGGCGAUGUGGGAUCCAAGCUGUGCCUUCAACCUACACCACAGCUCACAGCAACACCAGAUCCUUAAAUCACUGAACAAGGCCAGGGAUCAAACCUGCAUCCUCAUGAAUACUAGUCAGGUUCAUAACCCCCCGGUUACUACCAUAUAGAGGGUGUUGAGUGAAAACUUGUAAGUCUAUUAAAAUUUCUAGAUUCCCAACAUAGAAAACAUAUAGAAGGAGUCAGGGGGACACACAGUUAGUAGUGGCUUGAGCUGAGAGCCUUGUUCCCAGGACUGACAUGUUUGGUUUCUAUUUAAUAAACUGCCAUCAUGGGCUUUACUAUUUGGGGAUAUUUACAUUCAUACUAAUGAGUUGCGAUCUUUUGGUUGUUGUUUUCUUUUUACAGCUGUACCUGCGGCACAUGAAAGUUCCCAGGCUAAGGGCUGAAUCAGAGCUGCAGCUGCAGGCCCACACCACGGCCACAAGAACACCAGAGCCAAGGCACAUUUGUGAUCCAUGCCACAGCUUAAGGCAACGCCAGAUCCUUAACCCACUGAGCAAGGCCAGGGAUCAAACUGGCAUCUUCACGGAGACUUCUGCGAGGUCUUAACAAGCUGAGCCACAAUGGGAACUCCAAGAGUUGUGAUCUCAAUAAAGCAGCUAUUCCAAUUGGUGUGCCAGCCCUCUACAGGUUACAAAAGAUGCCUCCUCUGGCAAGACAUCCCACCCCCGAUGCCUCAAGGCUGGGCCAGACCAAACCACUUUAGAUGAUUAUUAUUAAAACUUCUAGGAAAAAAACCCCACAUAGUUCCCCCUGCAAAUUAUUUUUAAAAAUCCCUCUGUUGAAAAGCUUUUCUUACCUACCCUAAAUCCUUUGUGCUGCACUGUCAGCCCACCUCCUCCUGUUUAGAUCUCAGGAGAGCUUACCAUGAGACUCUAAAAAAGAACCCUCUUAUGCUUCAAUAACAGCAUUAAAUCACCCUUAAGUCCACUCUUCUCCAGGGUAAACAAUCCAAAUUUCUUUAGCCUUCCUCCAUAGAUCUUCUUUUACAAGCUUUUAAUCACCGCGGUGGCACGCCUCCAGACCAGGCUUUCUCCAAGUCCCUCCAUCCUACUGCUGUUGUAAAGCUUAGUGCUGCCGACAGCUUCAUGUGCCGAGUGCUACCCGAGCCUUACCAGGAAUAAUAUCCCCUUCAUCUCGUGUAAUGGCCUCAAGGAAACUUGAAUCAGCAUGACGGGGAUUCUCAAAAUCAGGAAUUUGUUAUGUUUAACUUAAAUUGCCUACGGCUUUUAUUCUUUAAAAUAUGGCAGUGGGCUGAGGAUUACGGUUUCAGUGACGUUGUGUGGCAUUUUAUGCUUUCAUAUAUAUCUCAUCCCACAUUAAGGCCAUGGAUGAACAGUACUACUGGUCAUAUAAGCUAAUGCUUUUGAAGUUUACUGCAUGCCAGGUAUUGUUCAAUACAUCCUAUGCCUUAACUUUUUAAGUGAAAUAAAUGAGGCAGAUGCUUUUAUUAUUACUGUCACUUUACCAACAGGAAAACUGGAACAAGAAGUUUAAGUAACCUGAGCAAAAUUACAUGGAUAAUAAAUGGUAGAGCUAGGAUCAGAAUAUAAAAAGUCUGCCUUACUCUUAAUGAGUUUGGUUUUGAAUCUAAUAGUGUGUUUACUGGACCUACCGCUACUAUCCUUAUUUGGACCUCAUGGUCAUAUUUUUGAAAUCUCUCCAGGAAUCGCUUCUGUAAUUAAAUAAGCUCCAAAAAAUUUUUCAACAAAACCCCACCUGAGAAUAGUAUCUAUAACUACCUCAAAAUAUAGGAACAGUAUCUUAGGAAAGAGCUAGUCAUUUAAUAAUCACAUACACCCUGUGCAUAUAUGUAGCUGUUAUUUAUUUAUUUUCAAAAGGUUUGGAGCAUAGACAUAUAAUAGAUAGAAAUCAUUAUUUUAUAUAUCUUAACACCACCUUAAAAUUUGCCAGGUAUAUAUCAUCCUCCCUCUGAAUCUUCAGUUUAUGAGCAUUUGUAACAGUCUUUCUGUAUGUAAUGCAAAACUAGUUACUAGAUUAUGCUACCAUCCUAGUAAUGGGAACAAUACACACUCAGUAACUUGAGUAUUGCUGCUCAGUUUGUGUUGAAAUCCUUAUUUUUUUAGAAAGCAGGGUUUCCAGACAUAGAGCCCUUAAUCACUAACUGUACGAUGCUACGUAUGUUCAACUUCCUUUACAGAGAAUGUGAGAUGAAUUGAAUGAACAGAGUGACAGUAAAUUAAAUGACAUCACACACUCACAAGCUUACUGCUUUUCUCAUCUAUUUCAAUCAUUCUGAUUAAGUGAAGGAGAAUGGGUCAUUGUGCAGGUCCUAUUCUUUAACUUCUCAAACACUUGAUGAUCUCCCACUUAACAAACAGACGUAAGCACAGAGACUUGAAGAGACAAGAGUCCAUAACAGAAUUAAAUGACUUUGUUUCAUUUUGUGUGUGUGUGUGUGUGUGUGUGUGUGUGUGUGUGUGUGUGUGUUUACCGUUACCUUUGUUCUUGGCCUAUAGCACUGAUUUUCCAUUUCUGGUAGUGAUAUAAACUGUACUUUUGAAUUAACUGAAUUAGAAAUUGAGCUGGUUUAAUUAUAAAUUACAAUAAUACACGAAAAUAAAUGGUAUUAAUUAUAAAGCAGGCAUAUAAAUGAACCUGGAGAAGGGAACAAUGAAGCAUCAUGGGUUAACCCAGUGUAAUUAAAGAUGAAAACCUGAAUCCUUCAAGACUUAUACUCUACUUACUCUGUGAUCAGAAAUGGCCAUCUAGGAGUUUUCACUGUGGUACAGUGGGUUAAAAAUCUGAUCGCCACAGUUCAGGUGGCUAUGGAGGCGCAGUUUCGAUCCCCAGCCUGGAGCAGUGGGUUAAAGGAUCCGGUGUAGGUUGCAGCUGUCACAUAGCAUGCACCUGCAGCUUAGAUUCAAAUCCCUGGCCUGGGAACUUCCACAUACCUUGGGUGCCAUAUGCCAUUUAAAAAGAAAAACGAAAAAAGAAAUGGCCAGCCAAAAGCAAUAGUCGUUCCAUCUCUGUGAACAGGAAAUCCUUGCAGGCACACCUGAAGAGAGAUGGGAAUCUGUCCCUCUGGGCAAGGCAUGAGUCAGGGCUGAGUACAGAGCCAGUCUUCAUGUUUUGAAGUUAACUGUGAACAAGGUUUUAUAGAAAUUUACUUUCCCAGCUGCAGAGAAGCUCUUGGAAUUUGAAAAAGUUUUUCCCCAAGGUACUGAAUUGCUUCAAACAUAUUUACUAAAAAUCUGUAUCUUUAUCAACUCGUUCCUUGUUCUUAGAUUUAUUCUGAACUCACAAAACAAAAUCUAUAGGAAAUAAUGUUUUAUAAAUCAAUCUUUGAAUACCAGUGUGAUCCUGUGGGGAAUGAGCAACAAUACUAUUGGGUAUUUCAUUCCAACUUCAUGACUCAAAAGUAUCUCCAGAAAAUAUUAGCCUACCUAACUGUCUACACAUGAAAUUAAGCAUUUACAAACCUCAAAAACAGGUCUGCAUCUAUACAUCAAAAAGAAGCAGAGAGGCCAAUGAGAUUUCACAGAAAUCUAGUCAUAGAUCAUUACUUUCAAGCUAUGUGUAAUCACUCCUUUAUUGACCCCUAUCUUCAUUCAUGAAUGUCUGCAGUAUUAGGUUUAUGCUACAGGGCAUAUAAAAAGAGAAGGGAUGCCUGCUCUCAAAGACUUAGAUCUAAAGAUCUAAAUUAAUAUAUUGGAUCCUUAAAAGUGAAUAUAUAAACUAUGGAUUAAGGAGGCAGUAGUAGACGCUUGACUUCAUGUUCUCACAGAUAGGCCUUUUGGAAUUAAUUCUAUGACAUGGGCCUCCUCACUUGUGAACUGUCAAAGAAACAGCCAGAAAGUUCAUCUAAGCCUGACUUCUUAGAUGCCAAGUGUCUCUAGAAUGCUACUGGAAACCAACAACUGAAGAGGCUGAAAAUCAUCUGGGAUGGAGUGGAUUAACAUUUUGUAGCUUUCUCCCUGCACGUCCCUGCAGAUUACAUUGAUCAUUCCACUGUAUGCUCCAACCCCCUCAACUCGCAUCCCCCUCUCCUUGGCUCUUUUGAAUUAAGAAUCCUAUCCAGCUGCACAUUCCCAGGGGGAGGAGCUCGAGACAGCUCAGUGCACUUCCUAGAUCUACAGCUUGCUCAUUUUAGAAAGUGUGUUUCCAUAUGGAGUCACAGCAGAAGCAUCUGUGUUUACCUAGGUUUUUUUCAAUCUUUGUAAAAGGGAGAAGAUGGACACAAAUAUACAUAACUGAAGAGAGAGAGAAGGAGGCUGAGGAGGAAUAAAAUAGGAGUCCUGCCACGGCUGAUUCUGAACCAGGAUGGAAACUGGAGCCCUGGCUCUGGUGUAGGAUACCCACUCAUAAAGGAGGUGCAGAGCCAAAGGUCUUUGCAGCAGAAAGAGGUGUAAGCUGUGAGAAGGAGGUAUUAAGUGACAGCCACAUCAGCCCCAAACGUUACACAUUGGGAGAUAUUCAAAAGAUGAUUCUAGUUUACUUUUCCCAAGUAUUUUAAAUGAAUUAAGCCAAGGCAUAAGGUCUACAUGCAGAAUCCACAAGCUCUUCUCUGUGGCACAAUGGCUGAGGACCACUGUCCUGGCCUGCAUGAUGCUCCCACCUCCUGAUGUGUCCCACUCAACUUGGUCCUUCCCCUGCACUGGCUUCACUAACAGAAAAGAACACUGAAUUAUGCUCAUUUGGAACACUUCAUGCCCUGUGGCCUCUUCCAGGACUGAAAAUGAAUACCUCACAAACACGUUUAGAUAAAAAAGAAAAGCAUAUUUACAUUAUUCCUUUCAGAAUAUAGUUAUUCUCCUCCUGGUUACAAAAGGAUGCCUUUAGUUAGCUAUUCUAAAAUCUAAGAGUGAACACACCAUCUUAUUUUUUUAAAUAUGAAAUCUUAUGUCAUAGGAAUACCGUACAUCACUUGAAUUUAUUUAACAAAGUGAAUUUUUCUUGGCAUAAUGUGCUAUGCAAAACAGUUUCUUUUCAACAACCAAAGGAACAAAAUGAAACUAAAUUUGAAGAAAUUAACAAAACCAAGGAGGAAGUAAUGUUAUUAAGUCUCUGGGGUUUUUGGUGGUUUUUGUUUUCUUGAGCUUAAUUGUUUGUUUGUUUUUUGGCCUUGCCUGCCUGUGGCAUGCGGAAAUUCCAGGGCUGGGGAUCAAAUCCAUGCCAUGGCAGUGAUGAUGCCAGCAUCUUAAUCCACUGAGCUACCAGGGAA